This 253-nucleotide ribosomal RNA is filed under the name uncultured bacterium. Its description in RNAcentral is "partial 16S ribosomal RNA". It matches the Rfam family "Bacterial small subunit ribosomal RNA", at positions 524 to 776 of the family's 1533-position model. The record is from RNAcentral.
UACGUAGGGUGCGAGCGUUGUCCGGAAUUACUGGGCGUAAAGAGCUCGUAGGUGGUUUGUCGCGUUGUUCGUGAAAACCUGAGGCUUAACCUUGGGCGUGCGGGCGAUACGGGCAGACUGGAGUACUGCAGGGGAGACUGGAAUUCCUGGUGUAGCGGUGGAAUGCGCAGAUAUCAGGAGGAACACCGGUGGCGAAGGCGGGUCUCUGGGCAGUAACUGACGCUGAGGAGCGAAAGCGUGGGGAGCAAACAGG